This 238-nucleotide ribosomal RNA is filed under the name uncultured bacterium. Its description in RNAcentral is "partial 16S ribosomal RNA". It matches the Rfam family "Bacterial small subunit ribosomal RNA", at positions 15 to 230 of the family's 1533-position model. The record is from RNAcentral.
GAUCCUGGCUCAGGACGAACGCUGGCGGCGUGCUUAACACAUGCAAGUCGAACGAAGAGCGACGGAAGCUUGCUUCUAUCAAUCUUAGUGGCGAACGGGUGAGUAACGCGUAAUCAACCUGCCCUUCAGAGGGGGACAACAGUUGGAAACGACUGCUAAUACCGCAUACGAUCUAACCUCGGCAUCGAGGAUAGAUGAAAGGUGGCCUCUACAUGUAAGCUAUCACUGAAGGAGGGGA